This 447-nucleotide ribosomal RNA is filed under the name uncultured bacterium. RNAcentral's name for it is "partial 16S ribosomal RNA". It matches the Rfam family "Bacterial small subunit ribosomal RNA", at positions 29 to 523 of the family's 1533-position model. The record is from RNAcentral.
AACGAACGCUGGCGGCAGGCUUAACACAUGCAAGUCGAACGCCCCGCAAGGGGAGUGGCAGACGGGUGAGUAACACGUGGGAACGUGCCCUAAGGUUUGGAGUAUUCCCGGGAAACUGGGAGCAAUACCAAAUGUGUCCGUAAGGAGAAAGAUUUAUCGCCUUAGGAUCGGCCCGCGUCAGAUUAGGUGGUUGGUGGGGUAAUGGCCUACCAAGCCGACGAUCUGUAGCUGGUCUGAGAGGACGACCAGCCACACUGGGACUGAGACACGGCCCAGACUCCUACGGGAGGCAGCAGUGGGGAAUCUUGGACAAUGGGCGCAAGCCUGAUCCAGCCAUGCCGCGUGGAUGAUGAAGGCCCUAGGGUUGUAAAAUCCUUUCGUUGGGGACGAUAAUGACGGUACCCAAAGAAGAAGCUCCGGCUAACUUCGUGCCAGCAGCCGCCGUAA